RNAcentral lists this ribosomal RNA (838 nucleotides) under uncultured Acidimicrobiales bacterium. RNAcentral's name for it is "bacterial SSU rRNA". It matches the Rfam family "Bacterial small subunit ribosomal RNA", at positions 36 to 888 of the family's 1533-position model. Lineage: Bacteria; Bacillati; Actinomycetota; Acidimicrobiia; Acidimicrobiales. The record is from RNAcentral.
CUGGCGGCGGGCCUAACACAUGCAAGUCGAACGAACUUGACCUUCGGGUCAUAUAGUGAGUGGCGAACGGGUGAGUAACACGUGAGAAACCUGCCCCGAAGACUGGAACAACCCGAGGAAACUCGGGCUAAUACCGGAUACCCCCAUCGGAUCGCAUGAUCUGAUGAGGAAAUGCUCCGGCGCUUCGGGAGGGUCUCGCGGCCUAUCAGCUAGUUGGUGAGGUAAUGGCUCACCAAGGCAACGACGGGUAGCUGGUCUGAGAGGACGAUCAGCCACACUGGGACUGAGACACGGCCCAGACUCCUACGGGAGGCAGCAGUGGGGAAUAUUGCGCAAUGGGCGAAAGCCUGACGCAGCCACGCCGCGUGCGGGAUGAAGGCCCUAGGGUUGUAAACCGCUUUAGGCAGGGAAGAAAAUGACGGUACCUGCAGAAUAAGGUCCGGCCAACUACGUGCCAGCAGCCGCGGUAACACGUAGGGACCGAGCGUUGUCCGGAUUUAUUGGGCGUAAAGAGCUCGUAGGCGGUUCGGUAAGUCAGGUGUGAAAGCUCGAGGCUCAACCUCGAGAUGCCACCUGAUACUGCCGUGACUUGAGUCCGGUAGAGGAGUGUGGAAUUCCUGGUGUAGCGGUGAAAUGCGCAGAUAUCAGGAGGAACACCAAUUGCGAAGGCAGCACUCUGGGCCGGUACUGACGCUGAGGAGCGAAAGCGUGGGGAGCGAACAGGAUUAGAUACCCUGGUAGUCCACGCCGUAAACGUUGGGCACUAGGUGUGGGAUCGAACUAACCGAUUCCGUGCCGUAGCUAACGCAUUAAGUGCCCCGCCUGGGGAGUACGGCCG